RNAcentral lists this ribosomal RNA (518 nucleotides) under uncultured bacterium PHOS-HC26. RNAcentral's name for it is "bacterial SSU rRNA". It matches the Rfam family "Bacterial small subunit ribosomal RNA", at positions 97 to 613 of the family's 1533-position model. The record is from RNAcentral. Lineage: Bacteria; Pseudomonadati; Bacteroidota.
GGCGCACGGGUGAGUAACGCGUACAUGACCUGCCCUAUACUGGGGGAUAGUCUUGGGAAACUGAGAAUAAUCCCGCAUGUGAUUAGAAUGCUGCAUGGCAAAUUAAUUAAAGCUGAGGCGGUAUAGGAUGGGUGUGCGUCUGAUUAGCUAGUUGGUAGUGUAACGGACUACCAAGGCGAUGAUCAGUAGGGGGCGUGAGAGCGUGACCCCCCACACGGGUACUGAGACACGGACCCGACUCCUACGGGAGGCAGCAGUAAGGAACAUUGGUCAAUGGAGGGAACUCUGAACCAGCCAUCCCGCGUGAAGGAUGAAGGGGCUCUGCCUUGUAAACUUCUUUUGCAUGGGACGAAAAAACUUAAUUUAUUAAGGACUGACGGUACCAUGAGAAUAAGCACCGGCUAACUCCGUGCCAGCAGCCGCGGUAAUACGGAGGGUGCGAGCGUUAUCCGGAAUCACUGGGUUUAAAGGGUGCGUAGGCGGUUUGAUAAGUCAGUGGUGAAAGGCCGUCGCUUAAC